This 465-nucleotide ribosomal RNA is filed under the name uncultured bacterium. RNAcentral's name for it is "partial 16S ribosomal RNA". It matches the Rfam family "Bacterial small subunit ribosomal RNA", at positions 28 to 507 of the family's 1533-position model. The record is from RNAcentral.
GACGAACGCUGGCGGCGUGCUUAACACAUGCAAGUCGAACGGAAAGGCCCUGCUUGCAGGGUACUCGAGUGGCGAACGGGUGAGUAACACGUGGGUGAUCUGCCCUGCACUUUGGGAUAAGCUUGGGAAACUGGGUCUAAUCCCGGAUAGGAGCCCUUUUUAGUGUGAUGGUUGGAGAGUUUUUUCGGUGUAGGAUGAGCUCGCGGCCUAUCAGCUUGUUGGUGGGGUUAUGGCCUACCAAGGCGGCGACGGGUAGCCGGCCUGAGAGGGUGGACGGCCACAUUGGGACUGAGAUACGGCCCAGACGCCUACGGGAGGCAGCAGUGGGGAAUAUUGCACAAUGGGCGCAAGCCUGAUGCAGCGACGCCGCGUGGGGGAUGACGGCCUUCGGGUUGUAAACUCCUUUCGCUAGGGACGAAGCUUUUUGUGACGGUACCUAGAGAAGAAGCACCGGCUAACUACGUG